GGUGGCUCAGUGGUAGAGCGCUUGCCUUGCAAGCAUGAGGCCCUGGGUUCCAUUCUUCAGCACCA
RNAcentral lists this transfer RNA (65 nucleotides) under Dipodomys ordii (Ord's kangaroo rat). It matches the Rfam family "tRNA". From Rfam's summary of the family: Transfer RNA (tRNA) molecules are approximately 80 nucleotides in length. Lineage: Eukaryota; Metazoa; Chordata; Mammalia; Rodentia; Heteromyidae. The record is from Rfam by way of RNAcentral.